UACGUAGGGGGCGAGCGUUGUCCGGAAUUACUGGGCGUAAAGGGUGCGUAGGCGGCCGAUUAAGUCAGAUGUGAAAUACCACGGCUCAACUGUGGGGGUGCAUUUGAAACUGGUUGGCUUGAGUGCAGGAGAGGAAAGUGGAAUUCCUAGUGUAGCGGUGAAAUGCGUAGAGAUUAGGAGGAACACCAGUGGCGAAGGCGACUUUCUGGACUGUAACUGACGCUGAGGCACGAAAGCGUGGGGAGCAAACAGGAUUAGAUACCCUGGUAGUCCACGCCGUAAACGAUGGAUACUAGGUGUAGGGGGUAUCGACCCCCCCUGUGCCGGAGUUAACGCAAUAAGUAUCCCGCCUGGGGAGUACGGCCGCAAGGUUGAA
RNAcentral lists this ribosomal RNA (376 nucleotides) under uncultured bacterium. RNAcentral describes it as "bacterial SSU rRNA". It matches the Rfam family "Bacterial small subunit ribosomal RNA", at positions 524 to 898 of the family's 1533-position model. The record is from RNAcentral.